AGUGAAUGACCUGUUGCAGUGCUUUCAUUGAAGUGUUCUUCGUUCCCUCAGCAAUAUGAUUGUGAUGACUGAAAAAGGGAAACUGUGCCACUAUUUGUACCAUCAUUUUCACCAAAAUCUAAAAAUGCUUUUUAUGACGUAUGGAGACAUUCUUCAUGUUUGUUUCAGUGGACACUCCUUGCAGAUGUAAAAAACUGAGAAAACUCACUUUUGGAAAGUGACCUAAAGAGUGUCAUUGAAGUGAAUUUUAAGUAGGCACGAUGAUUGUUUUCAUGGUUGCUGUUGGAUCAUAUCUCAGGAGCUGGAAUGACAGACAUUAUUGAACAAAGAAAUCAGGAUAGUGGAACUUAAAGGGCUUCAUCUCAGUGCUUUCAUAAGUAUGAAGUGCAUAUAUUUAUAAUUUUCACUAAUCACAGGGUAAAUAUAAAAUUGAUUCAUUAAAAAUGUUUCAUAAGAAUUCAAAGGACAUAGAAUUUUGUGAAAUGUAGUAUUUUUACUUAAGUGCCUUUUCUCUGCUUCUACCCCACAGCCAAUUUUUUAUAAACCAGUUGAUAACAUAAGUAGUUUUUGGGGGAUGAUACAUUACUUAUACAUUUUCUAUGUAGUAAACAUGUAUGUGUAUGUGUGUGGGUGUGUGUCUAAUUACUUUGUUGGACAGAUUCCUGUGGUUUGGAACUGCUGGGGCCAAGUUUAUACAAAAAUCUACAUUUUUGAGUAAACUCCCCAUGACUCUAGUAAGUUUCCACAGUAUUUGAGUAUUCUUUAUUUCCUAAAGCUGUACAAACAUCAGAUAAUCAAUAUUUGUAAGGAUCGAUAAUAUAAUUUAUAAUGAAAUUGCUUUAUCAGCUAUUAAUGUUAACUACAUCAUCUUCAUAUAGCCUUAUAACUCAUUUGUGCUAUUCCAUUUUCCUCUGUUCCUUUUAUUUUCACUUCCCUUGUAAUGUUAGUCUCUUUGUACUGAUUUCUGAAGAGUUCAUUUAUGAUUAAACAUGUUAACAUUUUGUCUAGAAUUGCAAAUAUGUUUUUUCUCAUUCAUUUUACUAUGGUGUUUUAUUUUUUGGUUAUACAGAAGUUGUAUAUUGAAAUAUAAUCUUGUUCUGUUUUAUGACUUUGGAGUUUUGUGGUUUUUUAAAACAUGUUUACAUUGGUAUCAUUUAUUUGUAUUGCCUUCUAUUUCAGCAGUUAGUUUGUCAUUUCUUUUUCCAUUAAUCAUCAUUCUGGUGUUAAUGAAUGCAUUAAAUAUUUAAAGUACUCACUUU
This 1259-nucleotide long non-coding RNA is filed under the name Homo sapiens (human). RNAcentral's name for it is "HSALNT0380156". The record is from RNAcentral. Lineage: Eukaryota; Metazoa; Chordata; Mammalia; Primates; Hominidae.